GAGUUUGAUCCUGGCUCAGGACGAACGCUGGCGGCGUGCUUAACACAUGCAAGUCGAACGAUGAACCGCUUUCGGGCGGGGAUUAGUGGCGAACGGGUGAGUAACACGUGGGCAAUCUGCCCUGCACUCUGGGACAAGCCCUGGAAACGGGGUCUAAUACCGGAUAUGACUGUCCAUCGCAUGGUGGAUGGUGUAAAGCUCCGGCGGUGCAGGAUGAGCCCGCGGCCUAUCAGCUUGUUGGUGAGGUAGUGGCUCACCAAGGCGACGACGGGUAGCCGGCCUGAGAGGGCGACCGGCCACACUGGGACUGAGACACGGCCCAGACUCCUACGGGAGGCAGCAGUGGGGAAUAUUGCACAAUGGGCGAAAGCCUGAUGCAGCGACGCCGCGUGGGGGAUGACGGCCUUCGGGUUGUAAACCUCUUUCAGCAGGGAAGAAGCGAAAGUGACGGUACCUGCAGAAGAAGCGCCGGCUAACUACGUGCCAGCAGCCGCGGUAAUACGUAGGGCGCAAGCGUUGUCCGGAAUUAUUGGGCGUAAAGAGCUCGUAGGCGGCUUGUCACGUCGGUUGUGAAAGCCCGGGGCUUAACCCCGGGUCUGCAGUCGAUACGGGCAGGCUAGAGUUCGGUAGGGGAGAUCGGAAUUCCUGGUGUAGCGGUGAAAUGCGCAGAUAUCAGAGGAACACCGGUGGCGAAGGCGGAUCUCUGGGCCGAUACUGACGCUGAGGAGCGAAAGCGUGGGGAGCGAACAGGAUUAGAUACCCUGGUAGUCCACGCCGUAAACGGUGGGCACUAGUGUGGGGCAACAUUCCACGUUGUCCGUGCCGCAGCUAACGCAUUAAGUGGCCCCGCCUGGGGAAGUACCGGCCGCA
Molecule: ribosomal RNA, 870 nt
Filed under: uncultured bacterium
Lineage: Bacteria
Description: bacterial SSU rRNA
Rfam family: Bacterial small subunit ribosomal RNA
Source: RNAcentral